This 1355-nucleotide ribosomal RNA is filed under the name uncultured bacterium. RNAcentral describes it as "bacterial SSU rRNA". It matches the Rfam family "Bacterial small subunit ribosomal RNA", at positions 28 to 1381 of the family's 1533-position model. The record is from RNAcentral.
AUUGAACGCUGGCGGCAGGCUUAACACAUGCAAGUCGAACGAUGACUCUCUAGCUUGCUAGAGAAGAUUAGUGGCGGACGGGUGAGUAACAUUUAGGAAUCUGCCUAGUAGUGGGGGAUAGCUCGGGGAAACUCGAAUUAAUACCGCAUACGACCUACGGGUGAAAGGGGGCGCAAGCUCUUGCUAUUAGAUGAGCCUAAAUCAGAUUAGCUAGUUGGUGGGGUAAAGGCCCACCAAGGCGACGAUCUGUGACUGGUCUGAGAGGAUGAUCAGUCACACCAGAACUGAGACACGGUCCGGACUCCUACGGGAGGCAGCAGUGGGGAAUAUUGGACAAUGGGGGCAACCCUGAUCCAGCCAUGCCGCGUGUGUGAAGAAGGCCUUUUGGUUGUAAAGCACUUUAAGCAGGGAGGAGAGGCUAAUGGUUAAUACCCAUUAGAUUAGACGUUACCUGCAGAAUAAGCACCGGCUAACUCUGUGCCAGCAGCCGCGGUAAUACAGAGGGUGCGAGCGUUAAUCGGAAUUACUGGGCGUAAAGCGAGUGUAGGUGGCUCAUUAAGUCACAUGUGAAAUCCCCGGGCUUAACCUGGGAACUGCAUGUGAUACUGGUGGUGCUAGAAUAUGUGAGAGGGAAGUAGAAUUCCAGGUGUAGCGGUGAAAUGCGUAGAGAUCUGGAGGAAUACCGAUGGCGAAGGCAGCUUCCUGGCAUAAUAUUGACACUGAGAUUCGAAAGCGUGGGUAGCAAACAGGAUUAGAUACCCUGGUAGUCCACGCCGUAAACGAUGUCUACUAGCCGUUGGGGUCCUUGAGACUUUAGUGGCGCAGUUAACGCGAUAAGUAGACCGCCUGGGGAGUACGGCCGCAAGGUUAAAACUCAAAUGAAUUGACGGGGGCCUGCACAAGCGGUGGAGCAUGUGGUUUAAUUCGAUGCAACGCGAAGAACCUUACCUGGUCUUGACAUAGUGAGAAUCCUGCAGAGAUGCGGGAGUGCCUUCGGGAAUUCACAUACAGGUGCUGCAUGGCUGUCGUCAGCUCGUGUCGUGAGAUGUUGGGUUAAGUCCCGCAACGAGCGCAACCCUUUUCCUUAUUUGCCAGCGGGUUAAGCCGGGAACUUUAAGGAUACUGCCAGUGACAAACUGGAGGAAGGCGGGGACGACGUCAAGUCAUCAUGGCCCUUACGACCAGGGCUACACACGUGCUACAAUGGUAGGUACAGAGGGUUGCUACACAGCGAUGUGAUGCUAAUCUCAAAAAGCCUAUCGUAGUCCGGAUUGGAGUCUGCAACUCGACUCCAUGAAGUCGGAAUCGCUAGUAAUCGCAGAUCAGAAUGCUGCGGUGAAUACGUUCCCGGGCCU